Molecule: ribosomal RNA, 551 nt
Filed under: uncultured archaeon
Lineage: Archaea
Description: bacterial SSU rRNA
Rfam family: Archaeal small subunit ribosomal RNA
Source: RNAcentral
CGGGGUGCAGCAGGCGCGAAAACUUUGCAAUAAGCGAAAGCUUGACAGGGCUAUCCCGAGUGCCAUCCGCUGAGGAAGGCUUUUACCCAGUCUAGAACGCUGGGGGAAUAAGGAGAGGGCAAGUCUGGUGUCAGCCGCCGCGGUAAUACCAGCUCUCCGAGUGGUGUGGAUGUUUAUUGGGCCUAAAGCAUCCGUAGCUGGCUAGGUCAGUCCCUUGUUAAAUCCACCGAAUUAAUCGUUGGAUUGCGGGGGAUACUGCUUGGCUAGGGGACGAGAGAGGCAGACGGUAUUUUCGGGGUAGGGGUGAAAUCCUAUAAUCCCGGGAAGACCACCAGUGGCGAAGGCUGUCUGCUAGAACGCGCCCGACGGUGAGGGAUGAAAGCUGGGGGAGCGAACCGGAUUAGAUACCCGGGUAGUCCCAGCUGUAAACGAUGCAGACUAGGUGUUUGGACGGCCACGUGCCGUUCUAGUGCCGCAGGGAAGCUGUUAAGUCUGCCGCCUGGGGAGUACGAUCGCAAGAUUGAAACUUAAAGGAAUUGGCGGGGGAGCAC